Lucilia cuprina (Australian sheep blowfly) is the source of this 585-nucleotide long non-coding RNA. RefSeq lists it as uncharacterized. The transcript is spliced from 3 exons. NCBI's taxonomy places the organism in Eukaryota, Metazoa, Arthropoda, Insecta, Diptera, Calliphoridae. The record is from RefSeq and is a predicted model, not a curated record.
AGGGAUCAUGUUGGCUGCCUUGGGCCUAUAUAAAAACUUGAUGGCCGAUUCUGAAAGAUGGCGGAUCGAAGCAGAAUGAAAUGGUUUUGUUCCAGAUGGGCCAGUGGACUAGGGAUUAAGGUGGUUCCGGGAAUUUAAGCUAAUAAAAUUCAAUUGGACCUGGGAUUUGGCCUUGGUUGCUGCUUCCGUUCAGGAUAAAUAAACCUAAAACUAAAUAAUAUAUAAUGAAACAUAAUUUCACUUAUAUUAAGUUUUUCCUUCAUAUUCACGACUUAAUCGUAGGAAUUUGGUAGAAAUGUAAGGACUAAGUUCACCAAAGCUCAUAGACUAACGUCUAGAGACUUUGGCGAGAAAUACCCCUUACAAUUUCUCCGGAAAUAAAAGUAAAAAUAUUCAUAAAUAAAAUUAUUUUGAAAAAAAAAGAAAAAAAUAUAUAUAUAAAGUGUAAUUUUCUAAAAGGAAUAAUAAAUAAUAAUGAUUUGAUCUUAGCUGGGAAUCCAAUUUGUCCUUUUAGAAGAUUACAAAAAGCUAGAUUAAAUUAAUUCAACUAAUUAUAUUUUAUUUCUCUUCCACAGGUUAUAAAUU